Molecule: long non-coding RNA, 2761 nt
Filed under: Sus scrofa (pig)
Lineage: Eukaryota; Metazoa; Chordata; Mammalia; Artiodactyla; Suidae
Description: lncRNA (ENSSSCG00050073894.1)
Source: RNAcentral
UUUUUUUUUUUUUUUUUUGGCUGUGCCGGUGACAUACAGAAAUUCCCAGGCCAGGGAUCAAACCCACACCACAGCUGCAACCCAAGCCAUGGCAGUGACAACACGAGAUCCUUAACCUGCUAAGCCAAGGAAUUUCUAUACUUCAAUUUUUAAAAAAGAUAUGGUGUGCAUAUAUGUACAAUGAAAUAUCAUUCAGCCAUAAAAAAGAAGGAACGGAGUUCCCGUCAUGGUUCAGUGGUUAAUGAACACGAUUAGUAUCCAUAAGGAGGCAGUUUCAACCCCUGGCCUUGCUCAGUGGGUUAAGGAUCAGCAUUGCCGUGAGCUGUGGUGAAGGUCUCAGAUGCGGUUCGUAUCUGGUAUUGCUGUGGCCAUGGAGUAGGCCGGCACCUGCAGCUUUGAUUCAGUUCCUAGCCUGGGAACCUCCAUAUGCCACAGGUGCAGCCCUAAAAAGACAAAAAAGGGAAGAAGAAGAAGAAGCAAUUCCUGCCAUUUACAAUAACAGAGACGGUCCUCGAGGGCAUUGUGCUAAGUGAAAUAAGUGAGACAGAGAAAGACAAAUACUGUAUGAUCUCUCAUGCAGGUGGAAUCUAAAAAACAAUAGCGAGAAAUAAGCAAGCUGGUAGAUACAGAAAACAGAUCGGUGGUUGCCAGAAUCAGGUGGGUGGAGGGUGGAAGAACUGGGUGGAAGGGGUCAGAAGCGACAUGCUCCCAGUGAUGAAAGGAUGAAGUCUUGGGGAUGUGAUGCACAGCCUGGUGACGGUGGCUAACAAAACUGUACCGCAUAUUUGAAAGCUGUUAAAGAGAGGAGAUCCUAAAAGAGUCAUCACAAGAAAAAACAAUUUUUUAAACUACCUAUGGUACCAGAUGUUAACCAGAUUUAUUGUGGUGAUUCUUUCACAAUAUACACAAAUAUCAAAUCACAAUGCUGUAUAGCUGAAAAUAAUAUAAUGUCAAUAUACGUUAACUAUACCUCAAUAAAAAUUAUUUUUUUUGUCCUUUUAGGGCUGCGCCAGCAGCAUACGGAGGUUCCCAGGCUAGAGGUCAAAUCGGAGCUACAGCUGCUGGCCUAUGCCACGGCCACAGCAACGAAGGAUCUGCGUCCCAUCUGCCACCUACACCACAGCUCAAGGCAGCACCAGAUCCUUAACCCAGUGAGCAAAGCCAGGGAUCCAACCCAAGUCCUUGUGGAUACUAGUGCAAAAAUAUUUUUAUUGAGGAGUUCAAGUCAUGGCUCAGUGGAAAUGAACCUGUACCCAUGAGGAUGCAGGGUCAAUCCCUAGCCUCCCUCAAUGGGUCAGGGAUCUGGUGUUGCCAUGAGCUGUGGUGUAGGUCCCGGACGAAGCUCGGAUCCUGUGGUGCUAUGGCUGUGGUGUAGACCACAGCUGCAGCUCCAAUUUGAUCCCCAGCCUGGGAACUUCCCUAUGCUUUGGGUGAGGCCCUAAAAAGAAAAAAGAAAAAAUUCUUAAUUAAAAAAUGUUUUAAUUUUUCGAAAAAAGCUACCCCAGGAAGUUCCUUGAUGGUGUAGUGAUUAAGGAUUCAGCAUUGUCACUAUGAUAGCUUGGAUUCUAUCUCCGGCCCAGGAACUUCCACAGCAGCACCCCCUAAAAUAUGUGAUCCCACUGCCACAACACAAUGGAAACAGACAGUAUGUUUGGCAGUUAACAGUACAUGGAACCUCAAUGAAAUUUUCCUUUUAAGGACCUACACUGUAAACAAUGGAGCUAGGCAGUUGUCUCACUAAUUUCUGUUUCCAUAAUGCCACACACUCCAGUGCAUGAGUGUGAAGAUGACUGAAUUGCUUUACUCUUAGAUCAUUUUAUAUUAUACUAUCAAAACUUGAGAGCUCCAUACAUUCAGCAGAUUUAUUCAGAACACUUUUUUUAUUGAGAAAAUAAAAAUUGGAUUGUGGAGUUCCCCUGGUGGCUCAGCAGAAAUGAACCUGACUGGUAUCCUUGAGGACACAGGUUCAAUCUCUGGCCUUGCUCAGUGGGUUAAGGAUCCAGCAUUGCCAUGAGCUGUGGUGUAGGUCGCAGAUGUGACUCGAUCCUGCAUCGAGGUGGCUGUGGUGUAGGCCAGAGACUGCAGCUCCAAUUCAACCCCUAGCCUGGGAAUCUCUAUAUGCCUCGGGUAUGCCCCCCGCCAAAAAAAAGACAAAAAAAAAAAAUGGAUUGUUUUCACAUUUUCAAGAAUUUGAGGUGGGAAAAAUAUUAGCAAAUUGCAAGGAAAUAACUGUAAUGUAAUUUCUUGCAACUGAUUUUUAUGAUAAUGAAAGUGUUUCCAUCCUGCUCAUUAUUGAAACUUAAAAAACAAUCCAUGGAAGUAUAGCACAGGGAACUCUAUCUAGUCACUUGUGAUGGAACAUGAUGGAGGAUAAUGUGAGAAAAAGAAUGUGUGUGUGUGUGUGACUGGGUUACUUUGCUGUAUAGUAGAAAAUUGACAGAACACUGUAAACCAACUAUAAUGGAAAAAAUAAAAAUUAAAAAAAAAAAUUCAUGGAAGUUCUCAUUGUGGCACAGGAGGAAAGAAUCCGAUUAGCAUCCAUGAGGAUGCAGAUCUGAUCCCUGGCCUGGCUCAGUGGGUUAAGGAUCCAGCGUUGCUAUGAACUAUGGUGUGGAAAAUGGAGCUCAGAUCCCGCGUUGCUGUAGCUGUGGUGUUAGGUCGGCAGUAGGCCAGCAGCUACAGCUUUGAUUCGGUCCCUAGCCUGGGAACUUCCAUAUGCCCUGGGUGCAGCCCUAAAAAGCAAAAAAAAAAAAAAAAAAAA